This 22-nucleotide non-coding RNA is filed under the name Mus musculus (house mouse). Lineage: Eukaryota; Metazoa; Chordata; Mammalia; Rodentia; Muridae. The record is from RNAcentral.
UGUGUUAGGUGCAGAGUGUGCG